Molecule: ribosomal RNA, 331 nt
Filed under: uncultured eukaryote
Lineage: Eukaryota
Description: partial 18S ribosomal RNA
Rfam family: Eukaryotic small subunit ribosomal RNA
Source: RNAcentral
CCCUUAGAUGUCCUGGGCCGCACGCGCGUUACACUGAUGCAUUCAACGAGCUUAUAACCUUGGCCGAGAGGCCUGGGCAAUCUUGUUAACGUGCAUCGUGAUAGGGAUAGAUUAUUGAAAUUAUUAAUCUUGAACGAGGAAUUCCUAGUAAACGCAGAUCAUCAAUCUGCAUUGAUUACGUCCCUGCCCUUUGUACACACCGCCCGUCGCACCUACCGAUUGGAUGAUUUAGUGAGGACUUCGGACUGGGACCGAUGCGGCUUUCGGGCUGCGUCGGUAUUCUGGAAAGAUGUCCAAACUGUAUCAUUUAGAGGAAGUAAAAGUCGUAACA